Molecule: long non-coding RNA, 1469 nt
Filed under: Jatropha curcas
Lineage: Eukaryota; Viridiplantae; Streptophyta; Magnoliopsida; Malpighiales; Euphorbiaceae
Description: long non-coding RNA (JCUR_LNC000556)
Source: RNAcentral
AUGCAAAGAAGUCUGUGAUGCUCUUUGCUUAUCAGUUGAUGAUAUGUCUGAGUUUGGUUGAGGUCCUAUACAAGCUAAUCGAGCUGCCCAUGUAUUGGCACAGGAGGUAUGCUCUCUUGAGGGUUGUCGUAUUUUGUUACAGCACUAAGGUUAUGAUUAAAGUACUAAAUGUAUAGGACAACUUAUAAAUAAUAUAAAAUCCACUUUAUCCUCUGCUAUUACCGAUUUAAAAAAACUGCGCAAAAUAUUAUAAACUUUAUUUUAAAUUUCAGGUUUGGUAGAAAUAAAAAUAUAUAAUUUGCUGGUCAUGUAUUUAAUUCUAUGAAAUUUAACAUAAUUUCAUAAUUGAACAUUAUAUUUCAAUUAACUCUCCAUUAUCCUUAAAUUGAGCUUGCUAUUUUACUUAUAAGAAAUUGGUUUCAAUUCAAUUGAUUUCAAACCUGCCUUUUCCUUCCCCUUGUCUGGCUCAUUAGCUCUUACUUUUUCUUAAAUGAUGCUCAUUUUGUUGUCCCAUUACUGGCCAUUGUUUGAGAAAUUAGGAAACAAAUUAGAAAAAAAAAAAGUAGUUCUGGUUAAUUUAUCAUAAAAGAAACAAAUUGAACAUUAGGAAGAAGAAAGAUUCAUAGUGAUAGCAACAAAUCCAACAAACAAACCUACAGUACCUAUAAAGACACUGCGAGCCCUCACAACGCGGAGAUUAAAUUCUUUUACAGAUCGCCACAAACCGAUAAGAAUCUCCAAGCUGCCGUGCUCUUCUAUCAUCUUGAAUUGCUUCUCCACCUUCUUAAAGGAAUAGAUCCAGUUCUUCGAAUGAAUACCAAGUGCAGAAAGAAACCCAAAACCCAAAACGUUUGCAACAACCCAAAUAUUUUGCAUUGAUGCCUGUAUUGGAUUUCCAUUGAAAAGUUGAAUUGAUACCUCCGUCAAACUUCCUUCGAGAAUAUAAUAAAUCCAGUUCCCAAGCCCAAGUAGAACAAUUACAAUUGAAGCUACAAGUUUGAUAAAACCAUAUACGUUCUUCUUGAUCUUUUCCAAUUCCUUUCUGUUCUCAUUGGCCAAAGCAGAUAUUUGUCUUUCAACGGUGGUUCCCUCAAUUUCUUUGUGCUUGAAAUUGAGGUUCUUGCUUGGAUCUUCAGUUGGAUUUUGGGGGAUUUCAGUAUCAGAAGAUGAAUCUGAGGUUGAAAAGUUUCUGGGAUUUUGAUUCUUUAACAGGGCGUUUGUCAAAGUUAUCUCCUUUAGCUUCAAAUCAGAGACUCGGGAUUUCUCUCUAUAAAAUGUUGUUGAUGGAAAAAGUCUUGGCUUUUCUGCUGUUGACCUAAUAAAGUUAUGGUUUUUGGAUUUUGUAGCAAAACUUGAGUACGGUUGAAGAAAAAUGUUAUUGGAAGUUGUGGGUUUUGGCUGUGUUAGACCUUGGGAUUCAAAAAAGGAGAUGUGAUUGGGAGGGGUUGAAGUAGAUAUGGAGAAGUGAA